UGUUGCUAAAAAUGUCUGGAU
Molecule: non-coding RNA, 21 nt
Filed under: Caenorhabditis elegans
Lineage: Eukaryota; Metazoa; Nematoda; Chromadorea; Rhabditida; Rhabditidae
Source: RNAcentral